AUGGAGGAGCUCACCCCGGCCUUCUCCUCGUUUUCCUCCAUGGUCGGGUCUCCUGGUGGAGGUGCCGAUGUUGCCGGUUCCACAAUGCAAGAGCCCGUGGCAACGCGGCAAACUGAAGUUGUUCGCCGGCGUCGCACAGGGCGUCUUUGGCGUCGCAGGAAACCCUACCUUGGGGUUGGCACAGGGCAUCUCUGGCGUCGUAGGAAACCCCACCGCGGGGCUGGUGCAGGGAGUGGCCGACCAUCCCACCCUGCUGAAGCCGCAGGGCGUCUCUGCCAAGUCCAUGGUUGGCGAGUCCAACAUAGAAGUUAA
This 312-nucleotide ribosomal RNA is filed under the name Triticum aestivum (bread wheat). Its description in RNAcentral is "partial small subunit ribosomal RNA". The record is from RNAcentral. Lineage: Eukaryota; Viridiplantae; Streptophyta; Magnoliopsida; Poales; Poaceae.